AUAGCUUCUCAGCCUUUUGGCUAAGAUCAAGUGUAGUAUCUGUUCUUAUCAGCAUAAUGUCUGAUAUGUCCUCUAUCCAAGUACAAUAUAUUAUAUAGAUUUUUGGAGCUGGGAGAUGGAACAGGAGCUUGCUCUGUCCACUCCAUGCAUCGACCUGGUAUUGCAGUACCUCCAGGAACACUGCGCCCUUC
This is a small nuclear RNA of Fukomys damarensis (Damara mole-rat), 191 nucleotides long. Its record names the gene U2. It matches the Rfam family "U2 spliceosomal RNA". Rfam says of the family: U2 is a small nuclear RNA (snRNA) component of the spliceosome (involved in pre-mRNA splicing). Complementary binding between U2 snRNA (in an area lying towards the 5' end but 3' to hairpin I) and the branchpoint sequence (BPS) of the intron results the bulging out of an unpaired adenosine, on the BPS, which initiates a nucleophilic attack at the intronic 5' splice site, thus starting the first of two transesterification reactions that mediate splicing. The record is from Ensembl. Lineage: Eukaryota; Metazoa; Chordata; Mammalia; Rodentia; Bathyergidae.